Molecule: ribosomal RNA, 92 nt
Filed under: Nocardia sp. NRRL S-836
Lineage: Bacteria; Bacillati; Actinomycetota; Actinomycetes; Mycobacteriales; Nocardiaceae
Source: RNAcentral
GUUGGGGAAACACCCGGUCCCAUUCCGAACCCGGUAGUUAAGCCCUUCUGCGCCGAUGGUACUGCACUGGUUACGGUGUGGGAGAGUAGGUC